This 496-nucleotide ribosomal RNA is filed under the name uncultured bacterium. RNAcentral describes it as "partial 16S ribosomal RNA". It matches the Rfam family "Bacterial small subunit ribosomal RNA", at positions 28 to 506 of the family's 1533-position model. The record is from RNAcentral.
GAUGAACGCUGGCGGCGUGCCUAAUACAUGCCAGUCGAGCGAACGGACGAGAAGCUUGCUUCUCUGAUGUUACCGGCGGACGGGUGAGUAACACGUGGAUAACCUACCUAUAAGACUGGGAUAACUUCGGGAAACCGGAUCUAACACCGGAUAAUAUUUUGAACCGCAUGGUUCAAAAGAGAAAGACGGUCUUGCUGUCACUUAUACAUGGAUCCGGGCUGCAUUAGCUAGUUGGUAAGGAAACGGCUUACCAAGGCAAGGAUGCAUAGCCGACCAGGGAGAGGAUUCGGCACACCGGGACCUAGAACAGGUCCCAGACCCCUAGGGGAGGAAGAAGUGGGGAAUUUUCAGAAAGGGGCGAAAGCCUAACGAGGCAACGCCGCGUGAGUGAUGAAGGCCUUCGGUUCGUAAAACUCUUUUAUUAGGGAAAAACACAUGUGUAAGUAACUGUGCACAUCUUGACGGUACAAAAGAAGAAGGCCACGGCUAACUACUU